AAGUCGAACGGCAGCGCGGGGCAACCUGGCGGCGAGUGGCGAACGGGUGAGUAAUAUAUCGGAACGUACCCUGGAGUGGGGGAUAACGUAGCGAAAGUUACGCUAAUACCGCAUACGAUCUAAGGAUGAAAGUGGGGGCUUCGCAAGAACCUCAUGCUCCUGGAGCGGCCGAUAUCUGAUUAGCUAGUUGGUGGGGUAAAGGCCUACCAAGGCAUCGAUCAGUAGCUGGUCUGAGAGGACGACCAGCCACACUGGAACUGAGACACGGUCCAGACUCCUACGGGAGGCAGCAGUGGGGAAUUUUGGACAAUGGGCGAAAGCCUGAUCCAGCAAUGCCGCGUGAGUGAAGAAGGCCUUCGGGUUGUAAAGCUCUUUUGUCAGGGAAGAAACGGUGAGGGCUAAUAUCCCUUGCUAAUGACGGUACCUGAAGAAUAAGCACCGGCUAACUACGUGCCAGCAGCCGCGGUAAUACGUAGGGUGCAAGCGUUAAUCGGAAUUACUGGGCGUAAAGCGUGCGCAGGCGGUUUUGUAAGUCUGUCGUGAAAUCCCCGGGCUCAACCUGGGAAUUGCGAUGGAGACUGCAAGGCUAGAAUCUGGCAGAGGGGGGUAGAAUUCCACGUGUAGCAGU
Molecule: ribosomal RNA, 628 nt
Filed under: Rugamonas sp. 4r1
Lineage: Bacteria; Pseudomonadati; Pseudomonadota; Betaproteobacteria; Burkholderiales; Oxalobacteraceae
Description: bacterial SSU rRNA
Rfam family: Bacterial small subunit ribosomal RNA
Source: RNAcentral